Long non-coding RNA from Pundamilia nyererei, 709 nucleotides. RefSeq lists it as uncharacterized. The transcript is spliced from 3 exons. NCBI's taxonomy places the organism in Eukaryota, Metazoa, Chordata, Actinopteri, Cichliformes, Cichlidae. The record is from RefSeq and is a predicted model, not a curated record.
UGUAUUGCCUUUACGAUCAAGUGCCACUUUAACUGUGCGCCCGUAAUAUUUUGGUAGGCGUGAGCCGCUGAGAUUUGUUGUAGUAAGCUUACACCGGUUCUCUAUGUCGUGUCGGAGAGAGCAGCGCAGUGAUCAUACACAAGCGCCGGCGUCGAGCCCCUCCUUUCUCCUCUAGCUAGACGCCCCGUUGCCCAGGCCACACAUUUUUAAAUAAAAUAAAUGUCACCGCACAGCCAGGAAACUACCCGUCAGCUUGCUGGUCCGUAACUACGCUUCUCUGCGCCAUGUCAGCCAGCGUCCAUAGUCUUGUGCUAGCUAGCAAGUAGGCAAGCUAGCUAGCCGCACAAAAUGCUAGCACAGUUCGAUAGCUACGUUGCGUUCGGCGUUUCGAUGGUUUUUGCAUCUUCUUUAAGUGCGCGUCAUUACAUCUCGGAAUUCGACAAGACUGCUAUGAACAAUGACCAUAGUUGACGGAUCUUCAGAAAAGUCUGACCACGAGUCAGCCGGAUGUAACCGACCCUCCUUCACCAGUGGAGACGUGGGGAUGGACGGCAGUUGUUCCAGCAGCUGGGCAGUGGGCCCCACUGUACCCAGUGACUCUCCAAGGCUCAAGGCUCCAGUAGGCUGCCUGGCCCCCACUCCUGGAGCUGCUGUGUACAACAGUACACCCUCCUCUGUGGACCGGCCCAAGGACCAAGUGAUGAGCAGU